RNAcentral lists this ribosomal RNA (405 nucleotides) under uncultured bacterium. RNAcentral describes it as "bacterial SSU rRNA". It matches the Rfam family "Bacterial small subunit ribosomal RNA", at positions 354 to 777 of the family's 1533-position model. The record is from RNAcentral.
GUAGGGAAUUUUCGUCAAUGGGCGCAAGCCUGAACGAGCAAUGCCGCGUGAGUGAAGAAGCUCUUCGGAGUGUAAAGCUCUAUCAGCAGGGAAGAAAAUGACGGUACCUGACUAAGAAGCCCCGGCUAACUACGUGCCAGCAGCCGCGGUAAUACGUAGGUGGCGAGCGUUAUCCGGAAUGAUUGGGCGUAAAGGGUGCGCAGGCGGCCUGUCAAGUCUGAAGUGAAAUAUACAAGCUCAACUUGUAUAGGCUUUGGAAACUGGCAGGCUUGAGGACAGCAGAGGGCGGUGGAACUCCAUGUGUAGCGGUAAAAUGCGUAGAUAUAUGGAAGAACACCAGUGGCGAAGGCGGCCGCCUGGACUGUUACUGACGCUCAGGCACGAAAGCGUGGGGAGCAAAUAGGA